RNAcentral lists this ribosomal RNA (440 nucleotides) under uncultured bacterium. RNAcentral's name for it is "partial 16S ribosomal RNA". It matches the Rfam family "Bacterial small subunit ribosomal RNA", at positions 338 to 795 of the family's 1533-position model. The record is from RNAcentral.
CCUACGGGUGGCAGCAGUGGGGAAUAUUGCACAAUGGGGGAAACCCUGAUUCAGCGACGCCGCGUGAGUGAUGAAGUAUUUCGGUAUGUAAAGCUCCAUUAGCAGGGAUGAAAAUGACGGUACCUGAUUAACAAGCCCCGGCUAACUACGAGCCAGCAGCCGCGGUAAGAAGGAGGGGGCCAGCGUUAUCCGGAUUUACUGGGGGUAAAGGGAACGUAGACGGCAGCACAAGUCUGGUGUGAAAUGCCGGGGCUUAACCCCGGAACUGCUGUGGAAACUGUGCAGCUUGAGUGCGGGAGAGGUACGUGGAAUUCCUAGUGUAGCGGUGAAAUGCAUAGAUAUUAAGAAGAACACCAGUUGCGAAGGCGGCUUACUGGACUGUAACUGACGUUGAUGCUCGAAAGCGUGGGUAGCGAACAGGAUUAGAUACCCCUGUAGUC